GAUAAAAGAGUGCCUUUCUCAUGGCCUACAUUAUUCUCAGAAGUGGAAAUAGCAUGUCGAAAAUCCACUUAUCCUGUAACUGUCUCUGUUCGGACAGUGGGAGAUCAUACAACCUGUAGUACAAUAAAUGCUGAGUUGGUGACCCGGAAAAGGAAAAGGACCACAGA
This is a long non-coding RNA of Hyposmocoma kahamanoa, 167 nucleotides long. RefSeq lists it as uncharacterized. The record is from RefSeq and is a predicted model, not a curated record. The transcript has 3 exons. Lineage: Eukaryota; Metazoa; Arthropoda; Insecta; Lepidoptera; Cosmopterigidae.